Molecule: ribosomal RNA, 496 nt
Filed under: uncultured bacterium
Lineage: Bacteria
Description: partial 16S ribosomal RNA
Rfam family: Bacterial small subunit ribosomal RNA
Source: RNAcentral
AUUGAACGCUGGCGGAAUGCUUUACACAUGCAAGUCGAACGGUAGAGGGGGCAACCCCUCGAGAGUGGCGAACGGGUGAGUAAUAUAUCGGAACGUGCCCAGUCGUGGGGGAUAACGUAGCGAAAGUUGCGCUAAUACCGCAUACGAUCUGAGGAUGAAAGCGGGGGACCGUAAGGCCUCGCGCGAUCGGAGCGGCCGAUGUCAGAUUAGGUAGUUGGUGAGGUAAAGGCCCACCAAGACGACGAUCUGUAGCUGGUCUGAGAGGACGACCAGCCACACUGGGACUGAGACACGGCCAAGACUCCUACGGGAGGCAGCAGUGGGGAAUUUUGGACAAUGGGCGAAAGCCUGAUCCAGCCAUUCCGCGUGCAGGAUGAAGGCCCUCGGGUUGUAAACUGCUUUUGUACAGAACGAAAAGGUUUCUACUAAUACUAGGAGCUCAUGACGGUACUGUAAGAAUAAGCACCGGCUAACUACGUGCCAGCAGCCGCCGUAA